Molecule: ribosomal RNA, 253 nt
Filed under: uncultured bacterium
Lineage: Bacteria
Description: partial 16S ribosomal RNA
Rfam family: Bacterial small subunit ribosomal RNA
Source: RNAcentral
UACGUAGGGUGCAAGCGUUGUCCGGAAUUAUUGGGCGUAAAGAGCUCGUAGGCGGUUCGUCGCGUCGGCUGUGAAAUCCCGAGGCUCAACCUCGGGUCUGCAGUCGAUACGGGCGGACUGGAGUUCGGCAGGGGAGACUGGAAUUCCUGGUGUAGCGGUGAAAUGCGCAGAUAUCAGGAGGAACACCGGUGGCGAAGGCGGGUCUCUGGGCCGUAACUGACGCUGAGGAGCGAAAGCGUGGGGAGCGAACAGG